RNAcentral lists this ribosomal RNA (582 nucleotides) under uncultured organism. RNAcentral describes it as "bacterial SSU rRNA". It matches the Rfam family "Bacterial small subunit ribosomal RNA", at positions 850 to 1459 of the family's 1533-position model. The record is from RNAcentral.
AGCUAACGCGUUAAACAGGGCGCCUGGGGAUUACGGCCGCAAGGCUAAAACUCAAAGGAAUUGACGGGGACCCGCACAAGCAGUGGAGCGCCUGGUUUAAUUCGAUGAUCAGCGAAGAACCUCACCUGGGCUUGAACUAUAGCUGCAUCCCGGCAGAAACGCCGGGAGCCUUCGAGGGUGCUAUAGAGGUGCUGCAUGGCUGUCGUCAGCUCGUGCCGUGAGAUGUAGGGUUAAGUCCCACAACGAGCGCAACCCCUAUUCUGUAUUACAAUUAUUCAGAAGACUGCCUCGCCACAACGAGGAGGAAGGAGGGGACGACGUCCAGUCAUCAUAUCCCUUAUGUCCAGGGCUACACAGACGCUACAAUGGCUACUACAACGGGUUGCCAAGCCGCAAGGCGGAGCCAAUCCCAUCAAAAGUAGCCUCAGUUCAGAUUGCAGGCUGCAACUCGCCUGCAUGAAGCCGGAAUUGCUAGUAAUCGCGUAUCAGCACGGCGCGGUGAAUACGUUCUCGGGUCUUGACACACCGCCCAUCAGGGCACGGGAGUUGCUCUUGCUCAAAGUCUCACUUUAUGUGGGCCAA